RNAcentral lists this ribosomal RNA (253 nucleotides) under uncultured bacterium. RNAcentral describes it as "partial 16S ribosomal RNA". It matches the Rfam family "Bacterial small subunit ribosomal RNA", at positions 524 to 776 of the family's 1533-position model. The record is from RNAcentral.
UACGGAGGGUGCAAGCGUUAUCCGGAUUCACUGGGUUUAAAGGGUGCGUAGGCGGCUCGAUAAGUCAGUGGUGAAAGCCCGCAGCUUAACUGCGGAACUGCCAUUGAAACUGCCGAGCUUGAGUAUCAUUGAAGUGGGUGGAAUGCAUCAUGUAGCGGUGAAAUGCUUAGAUAUGAUGCAGAACCCCGAUUGCGAAGGCAGCUCACUAAAUGGUAACUGACGCUGAGGCACGAAAGCGUGGGUAGCGAAUAGG